GUGAGGAAUAUUGGACAAUGGGCGCAAGCCUGAUCCAGCAAUGCCGCGUGCAGGAAGAAGGCCUUCGGGUUGUAAACUGCUUUUGUACGGAACGAAAAGGCUCUGGCUAAUACCUGGAGCUCAUGACGGUACCGUAAGAAUAAGCACCGGCUAACUACGUGCCAGCAGCCGUGGUAAUACGUAGGGUGCGAGCGUUAAUCGGAAUUACUGGGCGUAAAGCGUGCGCAGGCGGUGCUGUAAGACAGGCGUGAAAUCCCCGGGCUCAACCUGGGAAUUGCGCUUGUGACUGCAGCGCUGGAGUGCGGCAGAGGGGGAUGGAAUUCCGCGUGUAGCAGUGAAAUGCGUAGAUAUGCGGAGGAACACCGAUGGCGAAGGCAAUCCCCUGGGCCUGCACUGACGCUCAUGCACGAAAGCGUGGGGAGCAAACAGGAUUAGAUACCCGUGUAGUCC
Molecule: ribosomal RNA, 450 nt
Filed under: uncultured bacterium
Lineage: Bacteria
Description: partial 16S ribosomal RNA
Rfam family: Bacterial small subunit ribosomal RNA
Source: RNAcentral